UCGAAUGAAUCUUUCCCCCAAUUCGAAUCGAUCGAUCCAAUGGUGUGGUUUCAGUGCGAAGAUUGUGGCGAGAGUCUGAAGAAGCCAAAGCUACCGAGGCACUUCAGUAUGUGCAGUGCCACCAAGUUAUCUUGCAUUGACUGUGGAAACAUGUUUGGGCAAGAUAGUGUUCACUAUCAUAAUCAAUGCAUCACCGAGGCUGAGAAAUAUGGUCCAAAGGGGCUAUAUAAUGGCGAAAACUCGAAACAAAAUCAGCACGAUUUCUAUAUGAAUGCUGAGUUAUACAACAACCCUUCAUGGUUCUGUAGCUUAUGUGAUGCAAAUAUGACCUGCGAGCAAGAUUAUUUUGCCCAUGUCCAUGGAACGAAACAUCUAGAUAAAGAAAGAGAGGUUGCUGAACAACCAACUAUUGAUAAGAACAACUUAAAACAACAGCCCGACUUAGACAUUUAUGUCGGGUUAUCAAACCACUAUCCAUGGUUCUGUAGCUUGUGUAACAUAAACGCUACCAGCCAGCAUACUUUGUUAUCCCAUGCCAAUGGGAAGAAACACCGAGCAAAUGUCAAACAGUUUGAUGCUGAAAAACAGCAAAGGGAAUCAGAACAACAGACCGAAGUUGAUAUAAAUGUCGGGUUAUCAAAUUGUUAUCCAUGGUUUUGUAGCUUGUGUAACGCAAAGGCUACCAGCCAACAGACUUUGUUAUCACAUGCCAAUGGGAAAAAACACCGAGUGAAUGUUGAAUGGUUUCUUGCUGAACAAGAACAACAAUUAGAAACACCCACGGUGGAUAAGAAGGAUACAAAUGAAAAUGCAUCUGAUGGUGAUUUCGAACUGAAGAAAGUAUAUUUGCCUGUCUCUUCAGGUGUUGCAGAUGGAUAUUCACAGGCUGACAAAAAGAGAAAGCUAGAGACUUUCGAUGAAACACAGAACAGGGACGUAAUUCAGGCUAAAGAAGCAAAAGGAGGGCGUGAGGAAAAGAGUGAAUCUAAUAGAGCGAAGAAGCAAGACAGUGAGAGGAAGGGAAACAAGGACAAAAAGCAGACUAAGUCAGACUCUGAUUUCGAGUAUGACAAGGAAGACAUAAAACAGCUGUUGGUAUCUUACUCCAAGGAAGAGCUUGUUAACCUUGUAUACAAGACUGCCGAGAAGGGCUCUCGAUUGUUCUCUGCCAUCAUUGAGUCAGCGGACCGUGACAUUGCUCGCCGCAAUAUGUUUGUGCGUGGCUUUGGAUGGGACACAACACACGAGAACCUCAAGGCUGCUUUUGAGUCAUAUGGGGAGAUAGAGGAUUGCUCAGUGGUCAUGGACAAGGACACUGGAAGAGCUAAAGGGUACGGGUUCGUGUUGUUCAAGACGCGGAAGGGAGCAAGAGAGGCACUAAGAAAUCCAGAGAAGAGGUUGUACAACCGCACAGUGGUAUGUAAUCUAGCAUCAAAGAAGCCGUCUGGGGCUGGAAAGGUGCAAGAUAUCGUUGAGGCGGUGAAGAUUGAUCUAACUCAGAGUGAAGCGGCAUUCCCGGGGCUCGAACUGUCCCACCAGCAUGUACUCGAGGAUAAGCACCAGCAGCAGACUAUGGACAUGUACAGACAGAACAUACCUUAUUACGGACACCCCCAGCUUCCUGUUUUUGACCCUAUGUAUGGUGCAUUACAUGGUAAUCAAAUGGUAGCUGGUCCACCAAACUAUUGUAUGUUUGGUUCGGGUAUGAUGAUGAACCAGGGAUCGAUGUUGCCACCACCUGAUCAUAUGGGCAUGGCAGAGCAAUAUGUUGGUGAUGGCCAACAUGCUUGGUAUCAGAGGUAGCUGAGAUCAAUUGGUAAACCUAAGUAUGUUUGGCGAUGGGCGGACAUGGAGUUAUGGUUAUUGUAAGAAAGGAAACAUUUGGUAGUAUGUUCUUGUUUGGUGGACCGGGAGGGGAUGCUUGUGGAAUCUAAUAUUUAUGUGAUGAUGAUGAAUUGAUGUUCUUCGUCUUUCUAAUAAAACACUUUAUUAGCAAAUGAGCAAAUGAUCUAAUACUAUUAUUUACCAUAAUAUAUAUAUACCAGCCCCAUUAAAGCUCACCCAAAUGAUCUAUGCCUUCGAACGGGUGAACUUUUGCACUCCCUCGAACUCGACGACGGACAAAGACACAAACUCCCAAAAGUAUAAAUAUAAGGAUGAGGUAAACUCGAUAUACGAACGAUGGGUCUUCAUAAGCUAGCGGAAUCGGACAUUAGUGAAUCAAAAGCUUUUGAGAAUGUUUUAAAUUUUUUUUUUUUUUUUUUUUUGCAAAAAAUUUGCUUUAAAUUCUCUCCAAAAAUGCUAGCAAAAAUACUAUAAUAGAUUAUAAUAUCAUCGUUUUACUUUUCUCUU
This is an RNA transcript of Capsella rubella, 2352 nucleotides long. It is a transcript of the gene named UBP1-associated proteins 1C, with no coding region annotated. Lineage: Eukaryota; Viridiplantae; Streptophyta; Magnoliopsida; Brassicales; Brassicaceae. The record is from RefSeq and is a predicted model, not a curated record. The transcript has 8 exons.